GACCCUCAACAAGCCGGCAAAUUAUUAAUGCAAGUUGUUCAUCCCCAAGAUUCUUUGCACAGACAGUGAUUGCAGAAUAAUUAUCACCUCCAAGUAGAAAGAAAGCAAUAGCUAGCUCCAGUUGAUGUCUUCCCAUUAAGACAUAAGCAUUUUUUAAAGCAGCUGCUUUAUUUUUCUCCUCCUGAAAAUUGCGAGAAAGAAAUCCCACCAAGAGUUUGUCCUUUUCAUCUUUACUGAUUUUAAAAAGAC
This 249-nucleotide unclassified non-coding RNA is filed under the name Hevea brasiliensis (rubber tree). The record is from RNAcentral. Lineage: Eukaryota; Viridiplantae; Streptophyta; Magnoliopsida; Malpighiales; Euphorbiaceae.